GCCUGGCGGUGGCAGGAGCCUGUAGUCCCAGCUACUCGGGAGGCUGAGGUGGGAGGAUCCCUUGAGCCCAGGAGUUCUGGGCUGCAAUGCGCUAUGCCGAUUGGGCGUCCGCACUGAGUUCAGCAUCAAUAUGGUGACCUCCUGGGAGUGGGGGACGACCAGGUUGCCUAAGGAGGGGUGAACCGGCCCAGGUUGGAAAUGGAGCAGGUCAAAACUCCCGUGCUGAUCAGCAGUGAGACUGAGCCUCUGAAUAGCUGCUGCACUCCAGCCUGGGCAACAUAGCAAGACCCCGUAUCUA
Unclassified non-coding RNA from Callithrix jacchus (white-tufted-ear marmoset), 298 nucleotides. It matches the Rfam family "Metazoan signal recognition particle RNA". Rfam says of the family: The signal recognition particle (SRP) is a universally conserved ribonucleoprotein. It is involved in the co-translational targeting of proteins to membranes. The eukaryotic SRP consists of a 300-nucleotide 7S RNA and six proteins: SRPs 72, 68, 54, 19, 14, and 9. The record is from Ensembl. NCBI's taxonomy places the organism in Eukaryota, Metazoa, Chordata, Mammalia, Primates, Cebidae.